This 227-nucleotide ribosomal RNA is filed under the name uncultured bacterium. RNAcentral describes it as "partial 16S ribosomal RNA". It matches the Rfam family "Bacterial small subunit ribosomal RNA", at positions 107 to 334 of the family's 1533-position model. The record is from RNAcentral.
UGAGUAACACGUAUCCAACCUGCCGUCUACUCUUGGACAGCCUUCUGAAAGGAAGAUUAAUACAAGAUGGCAUCAUGAGUCCGCAUGUUCACAUGAUUAAAGGUAUUCCGGUAGACGAUGGGGAUGCGUUCCAUUAGAUAGUAGGCGGGGUACCGGCCCACCUAGUCUUCGAUGGAUAGGGGUUCUGAGAGGAAGGUCCCCCACAUUGGAACUGAGACACGGUCCAA